Gossypium raimondii (Peruvian cotton) is the source of this 145-nucleotide non-coding RNA. Lineage: Eukaryota; Viridiplantae; Streptophyta; Magnoliopsida; Malvales; Malvaceae. The record is from Rfam.
UGUUAAAAACUUAAUCCAUUUGUACGGUUAAAAAUUAGUGUGAUUGACAGAAUAACAAGAGAGUAACAUGUGACAUUCGAUAUAUAUCUCAUGUUGAUGUACAAUGAUUAAUUUUUAAUAGUAGAAAUGAAUUUAAUUUUUAACA